Molecule: ribosomal RNA, 373 nt
Filed under: uncultured organism
Description: partial 16S ribosomal RNA
Rfam family: Bacterial small subunit ribosomal RNA
Source: RNAcentral
GUAGGUGGCAAGCGUUGUCCGGAAUUAUUGGGCGUAAAGCGCGCGCAGGCGGUUCUUUAAGUCUGAUGUGAAAGCCCACGGCUCAACCGUGGAGGGUCAUUGGAAACUGGAGAACUUGAGUACAGAAGAGGAAAGCGGAAUUCCACGUGUAGCGGUGAAAUGCGUAGAGAUGUGGAGGAACACCAGUGGCGAAGGCGGCUUUCUGGCCUGUAACUGACGCUGAGGCGCGAAAGCGUGGGGAGCAAACAGGAUUAGAUACCCUGGUAGUCCACGCCGUAAACGAUGAGUGCUAAGUGUUAGGGGGGUUUCCGCCCCCCUUAGUGCUGCAGCUAACGCAUUAAGCACUCCGCCUGGGAGUACGGCCGCAAGGCUG